GAAAGGCGCUUUUGCGUCACUGAUGGAUGGACCCGCGGUGCAUUAGCUAGUUGGUGAGGUAACGGCUCACCAAGGCCACGAUGCAUAGCCGACCUGAGAGGGUGAUCGGCCACACUGGGACUGAGACACGGCCCAGACUCCUACGGGAGGCAGCAGUAGGGAAUCUUCGGCAAUGGACGAAAGUCUGACCGAGCAACGCCGCGUGAGUGAAGAAGGUUUUCGGAUCGUAAAACUCUGUUGUUAGAGAAGAACAAGGAUGAGAGUAAAAUGUUCAUCCCUUGACGGUAUCUAACCAGAAAGCCACGGCUAACUACGUGCCAGCAGCCGCGGUAAUACGUAGGUGGCAAGCGUUGUCCGGAUUUAUUGGGCGUAAAGCGAGCGCAGGCGGUUUCUUAAGUCUGAUGUGAAAGCCCCCGGCUCAACCGGGGAGGGUCAUUGGAAACUGGGAGACUUGAGUGCAGAAGAGGAGAGUGGAAUUCCAUGUGUAGCGGUGAAAUGCGUAGAUAUAUGGAGGAACACCAGUGGCGAAGGCGGCUCUCUGGUCUGUAACUGACGCUGAGGCUCGAAAGCGUGGGGAGCGAACAGGAUUAGAUACCCUGGUAGUCCACGCCGUAAACGAUGAGUGCUAAGUGUUGGAGGGUUUCCGC
Molecule: ribosomal RNA, 647 nt
Filed under: uncultured bacterium
Lineage: Bacteria
Description: bacterial SSU rRNA
Rfam family: Bacterial small subunit ribosomal RNA
Source: RNAcentral